This 68-nucleotide transfer RNA is filed under the name Camelus bactrianus (Bactrian camel). It matches the Rfam family "tRNA". Rfam says of the family: Transfer RNA (tRNA) molecules are approximately 80 nucleotides in length. Their secondary structure includes four short double-helical elements and three loops (D, anti-codon, and T loops). Further hydrogen bonds mediate the characteristic L-shaped molecular structure. tRNAs have two regions of fundamental functional importance: the anti-codon, which is responsible for specific mRNA codon recognition, and the 3' end, to which the tRNAs corresponding amino acid is attached (by aminoacyl-tRNA synthetases). tRNAs cope with the degeneracy of the genetic code in two manners: having more than one tRNA (with a specific anti-codon) for a particular amino acid; and 'wobble' base-pairing, i.e. permitting non-standard base-pairing at the 3rd anti-codon position. The record is from Rfam by way of RNAcentral. Lineage: Eukaryota; Metazoa; Chordata; Mammalia; Artiodactyla; Camelidae. RNAcentral also lists the same sequence under 2 other names.
GAGGGUAUAGCUCAGGGGUAGAGCAUGUGCUUUGCACGAGGUCCUGGGUUCAAUCCUCAGUACCUCCA